This 425-nucleotide ribosomal RNA is filed under the name uncultured bacterium. RNAcentral's name for it is "partial 16S ribosomal RNA". It matches the Rfam family "Bacterial small subunit ribosomal RNA", at positions 354 to 796 of the family's 1533-position model. The record is from RNAcentral.
GUGGGGAAUAUUGGGCAAUGGGGGAAACCCUGACCCAGCAACGCCGCGUGAAGGAAGAAGGUUUUCGGAUCGUAAACUUCUAUCCUUGGUGAAGAUAAUGACGGUAGCCAAGAAGGAAGCCCCGGCUAACUACGUGCCAGCAGCCGCGGUAAUACGUAGGGGGCAAGCGUUGUCCGGAAUGAUUGGGCGUAAAGGGCGCGUAGGCGGCCUGGUAAGUCUGGAGUGAAAGUCCUGCUUUUAAGGUGGGAAUUGCUUUGGAUACUGUCGGGCUUAAGUGCAGGAGAGGUAAGCGGAAUUCCCGGUGUGGCGGUGAAAUGCGUAGAGAUCGGGAGGAACACCAGUGGCGAAGGCGGCUUACUGGACUGUAACUGACGCUGAGGCGCGAAAGUGUGGGGAGCAAACAGGAUGAGAAACCCGAGUAGUCC